Molecule: ribosomal RNA, 309 nt
Filed under: Amanita sp. G3244
Lineage: Eukaryota; Fungi; Basidiomycota; Agaricomycetes; Agaricales; Amanitaceae
Also listed under: 1 other name
Description: eukaryotic LSU rRNA
Rfam family: Eukaryotic large subunit ribosomal RNA
Source: RNAcentral
CUGCAUUGGACCGUGUAUAAGUCUCCUGGGAUGGAGCGUCAGAGAGGGUGAGAAUCCCGUGUUCGACAUGGAUUGCCAGUGCAUUGUGGUACGCUCUCAAAGAGUUGAGUUGUUUGGGAAUGCAGCUCUAAAUGGGUGGUAAAAUCCAUCUAAAGCUAAAUAUUGGCGAGAGACCGAUAGCGAACAAGUACCGUGAGGGAAAGAUGAAAAGAACUUUGGAAAGAGAGUUAAACAGUAUGUGAAAUUGUUGAAAGGGAAACGCUUGAAGUCAGUCGCGUUGAUCAGGGAUCAGGUCGGCAUUUUUUUUGC